UACGUAGGGGGCAAGCGUUGUCCGGAUUUAUUGGGCGUAAAGAGCUCGUAGGUGGUUCGGUAAGUCGGAUGUGAAAUCUCCAGGCUCAACCUGGAGGGGUCAUUCGAUACUGCCGUGACUAGAGUUCGGUAGGGGAGUGUGGAAUUCCUGGUGGAGCGGUGAAAUGCGCAGAUAUCAGGAGGAACACCUAUUGCGAAGGCAGCUCGCUGGGACGUUACUGACGCUGAGACGCGAAAGCGUGGGGAGCAAACAGG
This 254-nucleotide ribosomal RNA is filed under the name uncultured bacterium. RNAcentral's name for it is "partial 16S ribosomal RNA". It matches the Rfam family "Bacterial small subunit ribosomal RNA", at positions 524 to 776 of the family's 1533-position model. The record is from RNAcentral.